Molecule: long non-coding RNA, 704 nt
Organism: Neofelis nebulosa (Clouded leopard)
Lineage: Eukaryota; Metazoa; Chordata; Mammalia; Carnivora; Felidae
Exons: 3
Source: RefSeq, a predicted model, not a curated record
CAAGUGGGUGUCUUUAAGCAUCCUGUGAUAGGCAGGCUUGGGAGGAGCUGACAGUCACUUGGAAACAGAUGGAAUGAAGAAGGUCAAUGGGGAUUGGCAACAUAAAAUGUACCAGGAAAAAUGUAAGGGGAAGAAAACAGAAUUUCCUCACAGAUAUUUUGUCAGAGUCUUCUGUGUGCCUGGCGCUGCUCCAGCCCUGAGGACAUGGGCGAGAGUAACACAACAAGGGCCCCACCACGCACGGCACCCACGUCUUAGGUGGAAGGGGUGAAAAGGGACGUCCCAGACAGUACUGGCAACACGCCUCCUGAUGACAGCACAUAAUAACGGGCACCAUGUCAUACCACGUCCAUCCCGGUUGUGAAAGUCACGCGAAUACAAAGCCUGCAGGAUGCCUCUGUAGGAGCCCUCACUCUCUCACGUUCCUUCCACCAUCUGGUCCUGUCUGGACCUAACCUGCAUAUCAAUUUGAGAUUCAGAGCCUGCUGAAAGUCAACAAUAAAUAGUGAUGCUGGGUGUUCUCUAUAAUAACCAAAUUAUGGGAACAACCCAAGUGUCCACCAUUUGAUGAAGAGAAAAGGAAGAUGUGGUGUGUGGACAUAUGCAUGCAUGUACGCAUACUAUGGAAUAUUACUAAGCCAUAAAAAAUAAUCAAGUCUUGCCUUUUGCAAUGACACGGAUAUAGCUAGAGUGUCUUAUGGUAA